Molecule: long non-coding RNA, 253 nt
Filed under: Lathyrus oleraceus (garden pea)
Lineage: Eukaryota; Viridiplantae; Streptophyta; Magnoliopsida; Fabales; Fabaceae
Description: Pisum sativum (pea) long non-coding RNA (PSAT_LNC024560)
Source: RNAcentral
GCCAUCAUACAAUCAAGAGGUGGGGAUGGAACAUACUACAUGUACCCAAACUAACGUAAACAUCUGUCAGGCAAGUAUGGAACAACUGUGUCACCCCACUUCAAACACCCCUGUAGAGACAUAACUCAUCAAACUGAGACCAUGCUCUAUGAUCCUCAAAUGGACGCCAUAUGACGUCAACAUGUGUCAGCUCGUCCAAAAUAGGUCGUAAAUCAUCAACCUUCAAGACUCCUUGCCUAUAGGACCAUCUCAU